UUAUCGUAAACAUAAUUAUUCAUUUAUUGCAUUUUUAUUAAUAAAUUGGGUACUGCAUUUCCAAUAAAUACUGCCAAGUUGAGCAUUUUCAUUUUCAAUUAUACCAGUGAAAAAUCAACAUUAACUCAUAAAACACUGUCAUAGAGGAAUAACAGUUCUGAAGGGUAUUUUUGCAAAAACUAAGAUAUUAUUGAUUAAUAAAACAUUCAAAAACUUUGUAUUAUGCAAUACGUCACAUUAACUUACAUGAUGACAGAGAUGGUGGGUUUUCAAACAUGGUCCACAGAAUUCUUUCAAGCAAGCAAACUCAGGCAAAUGCCAUUGAACACU
Molecule: long non-coding RNA, 330 nt
Filed under: Bos taurus (domestic cattle)
Lineage: Eukaryota; Metazoa; Chordata; Mammalia; Artiodactyla; Bovidae
Description: long non-coding RNA NONBTAT025952
Source: RNAcentral